This is a non-coding RNA of Agelaius phoeniceus (red-winged blackbird), 744 nucleotides long. Lineage: Eukaryota; Metazoa; Chordata; Aves; Passeriformes; Icteridae. The record is from RefSeq and is a predicted model, not a curated record.
GGCUGGCAAUUUUUUACCUCUAUUGUAAUUUUUUUUUUUCAAUUCUGUUCUGUCUUACUUCUAUCCUGCCAUUUCCAUUUCUUUCCUCUGUGCAAAACAAAUUUAACUGGCUAACCUAGUGGAAAAACUGCUCUUCUUUUGAGGAAUUAGUUUGCUGCUGCCGGAACAGACUGAGCAACUCGGCAAGGGACCUCAGGAGUGCCAGUUUGAGGGAGGAGCUGGAUUGUACAGAUAUUGCUUUGUCAGGCCAGGUGUCCUCUUGGUGGUAUUUACUAGCUUGUGCUCAUGGACAAGCAAAGACACUGCCUCUGCUCAAUAAUAAGCAGUAAAAAAAACAUGGUGAAGAAAGAGAAGGAUUUGCCUGUUACAGGAAAUUUUUUUUGAAGAGAGGUCUGUAUACCAAGUACUUAAAACAUCUGCAUGCAAGAUCAUCAUGUAAUUUUGUUUCUGCCCUGCAUAUCUUCUUGCUGAUAUGAACAGAGUCAUUACCUUUUUCUUGAAUGGGCUGUUAUCCAUGUGAUUGAUGGAGGUAACUGGACCAGCCAGUCAAAGGCAUCAGCUGUUUAGGUAAGUCAGGCUUUGAGAUUCUUGAUAAAUAUCAAGAAUCCCCCUUAAAAUGGGAGAGGGUUGGGGGUGAAGAUGAGGAUAGAUAAUUUAGUUGUAUAAUUGUGGUCAGUGGACCAUGUGCACUUAUUUAAGUCUUUAACUGCAGCUCAGAAGCCUGCUGGUCCAUGCAUUUGUCUA